AUUCCAAGGGAACUCCCACUUCCUGAUUGAUUAAAUUAAAACAAAGGGAGGUGAAUUCCAAUCUGUGUGAUUCUACGGGGAGAUAAGCAUGUUGAAAUCUCCACAAAAACCCUCAUACUCCACAUCUUGGCUCUUCCCUACCAGUAAGAAUUGCAGUGAAUUACUUUGUAAUCCAAAGUAAUUGAGGAAUGUGAAAAUAGUUGCCCCCAAAAGCAAAAUAUCUAUUAUUAAAAAGAAUCAUAGAAGUUAGGUUUUAAAAAGCAUGCAUUUAAUUUAGUUCAUGAAUAAAUUCCAGUGUGCAAAAGUACAAACCUUUUGACUAAGAUAUUACACUUCUAGGCAUAUAGCCCAAAGAUAUUUGACAUAGAAAGGUCUUCUCAAAACCACAAUAUCCAUGACAGUAAUUUUGUUGGUAAUAAAGGGAAAACAAAAUUGAUGCUCAUUGACGGAAGCAUGCCUAAGCCUAGUGUAGUACAAGAAUGUUUUUUAGAAUGUUACUCUGCUGAAAAAAUGGUGAUUGUGAAAAAUAUUUUACUGAAAUUUGAAUUGAGAUAAAGUAAAGAGAAGCCAAGAUCAUAAUAACCAAAAUGUCUAUGACACAAUAAUACAAACAAAAAGAGCCUCAGAAUGAAACUUAAAAAAAAACCCAAUAAAACUGUGAAAUUAGAAGAUCUAAGCUUAACUGGAGAUUUGAGACUGAGAUGGAAGUCUUUGGUGAAAUAUUGCACAUGCUGUCAAACUUUCUUAAUAUCUUGGUUGGGUUUCCAGAAUUUCAUUUUUUCUCUUCUAUUUUGUUUAUUCUUUUUUUGGAAGUGGUGUCAAGAUGGCAGCUUAGAAGCAGCAAAAGUUGAUUUCUCUAUGAAAACCCUUCUACACCAAUCAAAAAAUAAAGUGCUUCAAGGGGGACAGGAAAUCAAAUCCAAGAAGACAGAGCUGUGGGACCCUCCUGCUCAAUUCAACAUAAAAGGUGUAGGGCUUCUCCUGCCCCCAUCUUAGAUUUACUAAGACACCCCUUUGGAUCUGCUUCUAGAGUCCAUGUUGUUUCCUUGAGUCUAAGGUAAGUCCAUUGAGGACAAGUGUUGUUUCCUUUAUUGUCAGCACCUCACACGGCCCACCCCUAGGCCUCCCACAGUUCUUGGUCAAGAAAGGAAUGCUUUGGAUUAAUUGACCACUUGAUGGAUUGUCUCACUAGAUCCUUGUCAGAUCUAAGUAUGGCAUUGGAAGGAAAGGCCUUCCUUGGUGGCCUGGGCCCUCAGCUCUGACUGCCCUAGAAACCUGGCCUUUGUGGAAUCAUCUGCAGAUGGACCCCCCCCCCCCAAGCUGGCUCUGAUUUUCUAAUCUUAUUGCUUCUUUGGCUUAGGCCACAGCAGACAUGUCCCUAUUGGAUGGUUUCCAUGGGCCAGUGGUGAAACAAUUUGUCACUGCUGUAGCUGCCUUUGUCCUAUCCUAUCUUAAUGAAUUGCAUGAAGGACUUUGUAACCUUUGAAAAUCAAUUUGGAGCUUGUUUGCUCUGGCCACUCACCCAGCCUUUUUAAUCAACAGAAGCUGUUGGCCAAUUGCACACACCAGAAAGAGCCCAAAGAAAUAUCAGCAGAAGCUCGAGGCACAGUGAGGGGCAUUCUGGUGGGAUUGUUUGUUUGUUUGCUUUUUCUUGAGUCUGGCUAUAUUUGAAUUCAGAGAUGAUCCUUUGGAAGGCAUCGCCUCUAGCCAGAAUGUCCAAUUCCUAGGCUGACUGCAGAGACACUUUCAAUAUUCGCUAUUCACCCAGUCACCAGAGGUGAUAGAUGCAGUCUCAAGUCUUCUCUUUGCCUGUCCUUAAAUCCCAUUGUUUCCAGAACAUUCUAGCAGGAAAAAGGUUUGCAAUAUGCAACAUGCUACCCAAAUGGCCCUUUGAAGGUUGCUUUAGAAGCAGUUUCCACAGUGGGCUAAUUAAAUACCAGACCAGGAGCAUCAGGUAAUAGUGGAUUAAACAUUUUCCCUGGUAACCCAUUAAAGC
Molecule: long non-coding RNA, 1996 nt
Filed under: Monodelphis domestica (gray short-tailed opossum)
Lineage: Eukaryota; Metazoa; Chordata; Mammalia; Didelphimorphia; Didelphidae
Description: lncRNA (ENSMODG00000037591.1)
Source: RNAcentral